CAGAUGGAGACGCUCUCCCCGCUCCCUGCUAGGGAGUCACCGCGAGUCACGGGUUGAUCCCACCCCGGCCCCUACAGCUGCGCCUUCUGAUUGGCUACUACGUCUACAGUGCGCGAAAUUGUUGGCUGCAGCGCCUGUGGUUCCUGUGUCCAGGUCCAGGCUUUAAAGGAGAGCUCAACUAAAAGCUAGCCUGGGAUAAGCUAGGACGUGGGGGCUGUUCGUCGGGGCUUUAGGGUCAUCAGAGGUCACGUGUCGCGCUUCCCCGGACCUCUUCCUGCUGGCGGACCUGCGGGAGCCGAUGCUCAGGACCCAACCUUCCAACCGCCAGGCGCGGCCGGCCUGCGCAUCUCCCCAAACUCAGUUUCCUGGCUGCCAAAGCAAGCUCUGCACUUCUGCCUGGGGGUUGGGAUGAAGCUAUGAAACAACCCUUCCAUUCAUUCAGUGAAUGCUGUGGAAAAAGUGCUUCCACGGCAAGUUUUUAGGAAUAUAAAUGCCAAAAACUCCAGUGAUGUUUAUUUUGUUUCCCAAAUCUGUACCUUUCUGAGAUCAUCACUCCCAGCCUCCUCUAGUGACUCUGCAAGCUAAGGAAUUGUCAUCUCUCUUAUAAGAAACCUGUGUGGCACAAGGUUAAUGCUUGGGCAGUUUCCAUUAUGUGAAAGUCCCUUGGGUUGCACUGCACAGUGUACUAAUUAUGAUCCCAAUAAUCAGAUUUCUGGAUGACAUUUUCACCUGGGAUAUCAGAUGCAUUCCAUCAAGGCCACAGAUGGACAAAUGAAGAUCAAGACAUGGUGACAAAUGCCAGCUACUUUUCUCCAGGCUGGCAUGGAUCAGAAACGGAGGAGAAUAUUGAAGCAGCAUCCCAAAUAUUAGUUCUGAAAAACAAAUGGAUACGGAAGAACAAACGAGCACCUUGAGAUCCAACCAUGGCCCAAAGAGGCUGCAGAUGAGUUGCCACGCCCUGAGGUGCCUCUCGGGGAGCCCUGGAGGCUCUGACUGACUGGAGUCACAUGUCGGACAGGGUUGCUGACAGGGUGUUUGCUGUGCUCGUCAUCCUGUAAGUGAGACACUACACAGCAUUUGUUUGCCAAAUUGUGGUACAUUAUGCAAAUCUAAGUUAAAUUAAUACUUAGAAAUACAGAUAGGAAAAGCUAGAAAAGCCCUGUAACAAAGCAUGAUUACUGAGAUUAGAGUGCUUUGAACUUGAGCAUUAGAGAAUCUUUCGAAUUUGUAGGAUUAAGCAGGAGGCAUACCCCUCUCUUAGGAGAAACAUGCACAUUUGUAAAGGAUCCUAGCACCGGGGGAGAGGUAUUUUGGGUAGCUUGGGGUUCUUAUGAGGGAAGGAAAGAGCCAAAACAUCUCCCAAUACCAAGAGUAAAUUUCCUCUCCACAAAACACUGGAGUUUGAUUGUCUGGGUUGGUUAACUGGGCAGAAAAAUAAACUGUGAGGAAGAAACCCACGCAUGGCUCUGGAGGAAGUGGUCAGGGUGAACACCACCCAGGAGCCUCUUUGAUUUUCAAAGAGUUGAGCCCCAGACCUUGCUGUGAGAUGUGAAGAGUCACUCCAAAUUUAUAAGCUCAUUAAACAAGUACUUUUGACUGUCUACAUGUAUGGCUUUAAAAAAAUACACAGACUGCUUCCAGCCACACCUAGACCUUCUCCAACCAUUUAGCUGACAGUUUUUUCUUCUAAUUACUCAAGUGAGCGUCUCUGUUAUUUACACAGUUUGUGGAAGGCAGAGGAGAAGGGAUUUGUGGUUUAGUACCUUGGCAGGGCAUAGGGGUCAAGUUCAGCCCAUCUUCUGAAAUCAGUCUGACCUGUCAGGCUACCAGAGACCGCUGGAGUGUUGCCCGCUCCCCCAUAAGGUGUUUCCCUGAUUUGCUCUGGCUGGGAGCCAGGAACGGGUUUUGAGUUCAUUUGUGCUUCUUUACUGACCUUAUUGGUGAAUAGUGGCUGGUUUGCCUAAAAGCUCACCCCACCCUCUCUCUCUGUUUUCCUGUGAUCUUAGGGAUUGAACCCUGAGGUGCUCUACCACAUCCUGAGCUCUGUUUAUUUAAUUUUGAGACAUGGUCUCACUAAUUUGCCAGAUUGGGUUUGAACUUGUGAUCCUUCUGCCUCAGCGUCCUAAGCAGGUGAGAUUACAGGUGUAUACCACCACACCCUUUCAUUUUUGAUUUGACAAAAUGAGAAAGUGUUGCCUUUUCCUUCUUUCUUUCCUUCCUUGGAUGUUGGGAAGAUUGAUGGGAUAAUGGUCAUAAAGUCCUUUGAGCUACCUCAAGAAGAGUAUAACCCAAUUCAUUACUGCACUUGCUUCUGCUCAUAAAUCCACACUGUCUACAGUUCCUGUCUGCAGGCCUGGGGUGGUGCCCAAGACCACAGAAGGAAUGCUCCCGACACAGUCACACAUGGUCCUGUUGGUUGGAGUUGGUCAUUCCUGACCUUGACAUCAACCAUCUUAAUCUCCAGAAAUAGGCUAAAUGCUAGUCCGGCCACUUGUGUCUCUUCAUCAUCUCCAGGGCGACUGCAUAUUUCCAGCCUCUGUGCUCCAGGAUCUAAUAAUAGGUGGGAUGAAAAGACUGUUUCCUCUGAUGCACUUUUAUGAGAUGUUUUCAAAGAGGAUGCGGUGGGGGAAUGGAUAAGCUGCUCGCUCAGUACAGUGAGGCGUCAGAAUGACGGGGCAGGGAAGCCCCACCUUCCCAGGGAGCUCUUGCUCAAGACAGCCCAGUUGUUAGAGGGCCAGGAAUCCGGGAACAUCAAGGCAGCCUCAGACCUUGUAACCUAGAUGUCAUUGUGCUUUUCAGGCAAUGAUGCCUGAUCACUGCAGGCAGAAGUGUGGCCAAAGGGCACCUAUGGGCCCGAAGCCCUUUCCACAGCAGCUCUGCUUGGGUAAUGGUGCUUCAUUAAGCCUGUGAUGUUUAGGGAUGUCAGACAUCUCCUUAACCCUGAAACACCUUUUGCUCGUGAGUGGUAAAGAGUUGGAUUUCUUAUCAGAAGAAUAUUUUAGCUAUGUGCCCUGGAGAGGAACUACUGUCCCCAUGAGGGGACAGCAAAGCCUCAAGGACAAAGGGAUUUCCUAGAGACAAUGUCAGGAAGGAGGGAGGUACAGAAGGGGACUCUGGAGUCAGCCUGGAAGUUGGGGUUGAGGGAACUCAUUAAAUCUGUUAAGAGGAGCCUAGAUGUUUUGAGCAAGAACAGGGCAGCACCAAAGCUGGGAGAGAUUGUGAAAAUGGUUCAGUGUUUCUGGAGUCUGGGAGGAGAAACUUAAUUAUGCUAUUUAAUUAAACCAAAAGGAAGGGAAUAGAAUAUUUGGUUGCCAAAAGGUGCUCUUAUAAAAAACUGUGGGCUGAGCUGCAGCACUGGGUACCAACAAAGGCAUGGGAGGCAGUGCAUCAGGAAGGACAGGCAGCAAGCUCCAUGGCUGCAGGUCAUCCUUGAUGUGUUUCUGCCAUCAGAAUUUGCCCUUGAUGUCGGGACUCUUCAUUUAUGCAUGUUUGUGCUGUUAAGAUUGUCUUCUGAGUCAUUUGAGAUUUUUAAGAAUAUGUUGCCAAAGUCAACAACCAACAGUUUAGGGUGGCCUGGUCCACCCAGGUCUGGUCCAGGAGGGUCAGGACCCUGCCUCACUCUCACCAUUUCCUGUGGCCCUUCCUCCCUACCAUCCACCACAUGGCACUCCUGGGCCACAGGUGGCUAUCAGCCUUUUGCCUUCCUCCUGCAAAGUUGGGCUCUUCACUUGGGGAGUGUGUGUAUACUCACACAUGUACAUGCUCGCUCACAAGUGUGUGUGCACACUCGCACACAUGCCCAAGUGGGUGGGGAGGAGAGAGUUCUGUUCCCUUGUGGUGAUUGCCACCAACCAAUCAGCUGGACUCUGAGCCGAGCCAAAGUGAAGCAAGAGCGACAUCGGGUGCCAAGAACAAGAGCUUGCUGUGAUAUCAGGUGUUUUCUGGCCUCAGUGUGUAGGAGCAGAGAGAAAGGCUUGGCUCAUUCCAGAGCCUUCACUCCUAGGGAGCAAGGAGUUUCUGGAUGGGGCUUCAUGUCAGUAUUCUGCUCUGCUCGUUUGCAUGAGGGAAUUAGACGCAGACUUGAGGCUUUGAAUGGAUUUUUAAAAUAAAAAUCAAGGCAAAGGUUUUGUUGGCUAGAACAUGACACAGGGACCCAGGUCAACAUUCUAACCCUGUACCUGCCUGCAGUGUCCUCUGGAGGAUAACUGUGCCGAUGUCUUUAGUGGACUACGUAAAAGUCUGACCUAGUUCACAGAGGUGGCGUGUUUGCUCUGGAGGCUGCUCCUGGGGCAGGCUUCCUGUAGCUAGAGUCAACCUCAUUUAGCCAGAGGUAGGGAGCUAAAAGGUAUUCCUGUGGAAUGGCUCCCUGAGAAGGGCUGGCCUGGCUUCCACAAAGAUGCUUUGGGGGACAGGAUGUCAUGGGCUACCUAAAGAGGAUCCCCCCAUGCAGGUGGGAAAGAAUAUGGUCAUGUUAUUUGCCAUUCAGCUGGUCCUUCUUCUUAGCUGGAGCCUGCUUGGCUUUUUCCUUCAUGGAAGAUAAGGCGGGGAAGAGGUUUGUUUGUCCAGAUGCCACCAGUCGGAUGACUAUUGCAGGCACAGGAGUGUCUCCAGGGCACAGUGCCAGGCCAGGUCCCACCUAAUGUCUCUAUUCCUCAUCCAGGAGUGCUGUAAUCAGCAGGUUGAUGCAAAACUGGGAAGGGUUGAGAAACCCCUUGGGCAGGAGAUUUCGAAAUGAGAUUCGGAUUAGAAGAAACAUAGUGGGUGGGGUUUUAAAGAUUGAAGGAGACAGGACAAACUCCCCUCCCAACACUGACACUCCGCUGGAUAGCGGGGAUACACAGAAGAGCCUAGAAUGGGGAGGCAGCAGCACAGGGCUGUGAGGCAGCAGAGAGUUCUGAGUGCUGUUUCCUGACCACCUAUCCCCACCCUUGACAAGGAGCCCUGUGUCUGUCCAUUCACCAGGCAAAACCACCCCUGCCACAGUGCUUUCUGUCUAGGGCAUGUCAGCACCAGCUAGGGGUAGAUAGAUAAAGCCAUGGAGAAGCGAGGGAGGAGGGUGCUGGCAGGAGUGGUAGGAGGAGAACUUGACUAUGUUGGACAAGGCAAAGAAGGGGUUAGUCCCCAGUACCGAAAGGAAAAAACAAACAAACAAACAAAAAACCCCAAGGGUGAACGAGCCUGUGACCCCAUAGCCUUUGUCCCCCCCAGUGGGAAGGGGCAGCUCCCUCCUUGGGUGGCCAGCAGCUGUCACACUGUCUGUGCCCCCUCACCACAUGAUCCUAUCUGAGGUUGGGCUCAGGACACCAGGCAUUGUGUGGCUCCUGGCAGAUGCCCACGAUAUGACGAACCCAGAGGAAGUUGCUGGCUGGAUCUGAAGCCAGAGACAGAGGUGGACUUGAGAAAAAGAAGGAAAUGGAGGAAGUAAGGGAGGAAGAGCGAUGCAAAGGAUCCCAAAAAAGGAAAAAAAGGAACUAAGAAGGAAAGGCAGGAGAAGUGGCAUUCUAGAAGGAGCAAAGAAGCAAGAAAAGAAGACAAAAAAGAGGAUUAUGUCUCAUUUGAAGGAAUUAAGAGUGGCAUAGUCAAGAAUGAGUCUCAGGCCUUAGAAAGCUUGUCAUGAUGAAUAAAUCAUUCCAUUCAGGUGGCUUGAUGAUGGUGGUACUCUUUGAAGAAGUCAGGACCAUACAGUGUAAAAGCCAAGAGUGGGGCUGUAAGAACUAGCUGACCAGCUCUAAACAAGAGGGGCUUAUGAUUCAUGCCCGUACAUACCUGCCUCGUGCAGGGUGGGGACCCAUCUAACCUGAAUCACUGCCCAGCCCCUCCCAGUCUCCUUAGAUGACAAGCUGUGGCAUCCUUGGUCCACCCAACUCACCCCCAAGCAUUUUUCCAGAACAGUAAACAAGUACAGGUGAGGAAGGUCACAGAUCUUUUGGUUUGGGGCCAUUUUCUCCUCCCUCUCAGUGCUCACCAUGUGACUAACCAGGGGUUUCUCAUCAGGGGCUUUUUAGUCUUUCUUCAAAGUGGUCAGAAGGUUGCCAGAUGCAUUCCUCUGAGCUCAAAGUUUAUUUCUGUAUUCUAUUAUGGACUGGGAAAUCCAAGGUUGCCUGAAACAUAUGGGAAAAUCGUCUCUCAUUUUUAGCAUGCCCAGUGUUUUCAACAGUUGAUGCAAAGUUGACCACAGCUGAUCACCUUUCUUGCCAAAAUUAAACCAGAGAUGAAUGUCAUUAACUAUUACCUCCAACAUUUGUUUAGAGGUUUAUACUUUCUAAGCAACUCAUUUUAUUUAAUCUCUGUAAUAAUCCUGCAUUACUGUUAUUCUGCAUUAUAGACAUUGAGUCUCAGAAAAGGUAAUUUUUUAUUAAUAAAUUUUAUUUUAUCCCAUUUCCCCCUCCUGCCCCCUCCCCUCGCUUUGUACAAAAGCUUUGUUUCCAUUUUUUUCCUUCUAUUUUCAUUUUUUUCAGAAAGGUAAUUUUUCCCCAGAGUCUAAAUUCCUUGGGUUCAAACAGUUCACCCUGAAUCAGGUAUAGUGGGGUACACCUGUAAUCUCAGCCCUCUGGGAGGGUGAAACAAGAGGAUCACAAGUUUGAGUCCAGCCUAGACAACUUACUGACCUAGUGAGAUCCUGUCUCAAAAUAAAAGAAUAAAAAAGGGUUGGGGGUGUAGCUUAGUAUAUAAGCCCUGGGUUUAAUCCCCAGUGCCACAAACAAAACAACACAACCAGGAUAUCCUCUGACGCAAAUCCUUGGUGCUUCCUAUACAAUGUUAUCAAACUCUUUAGAGUUCAGAGUGACAUCAAGGGCAGAUUCUGGUGAUCUUUCCUCAAUUUGUUCUCUCACUCUUCUUACCACCCAUUCACUUUCUGCCCUAUUUCUAUGACCAUCCAGUGGGAAAAGAGUACACUUCUCAGGGAAGAACAUCUACAUAAAGCAAAGGACUCUAACAUUUCCUUUGCCAAGGGCCCUUUCUUUCUCCAAAGUUUCUUUCAUGACAAAAGCAAUAGGAGAAUAUUGUAGAAAAAGUACAAAAUCUAGAAAAACAAGAAGAUAAUAAAAAUCAUCAUUCUGCCAUUGAGCAAUAACUUUAGUCUUCCAAACUCAGUGGUAUAUAGUCUUCUAUAACUUGUGUGAUAGAUAUAUGUAUGGAGUUACCUAAAUUUAUAAAAUUAUAAAAAUGGCAAAUUUUAAUAAAUGUUUUGCUUUAAAUUAAUUAAAAUGGCAAAUGUACCUACUCCAUAAUACUGUUUGGGGACUUGUUUUUUAAUUUAAUAUAUUGUAAAUAUUUUCCUGAACUAUUUUUAUAAAAUAUUUAUUUAGUUGACACAUAUAUCCUUGGAGAGGUCUUUUUUUUUUUUUUUUGGUACCAGGGAUUGAACUCAGGUCCUUGUGCUUGCGAGGCAGGUGGCAGAACCACUGAGCUAAAUCCCAGGGCCUGGAGAGGUCUUUUUGAGACAGGGCCUCACGGGCCAGGGAUUUAGCUCAGUGAUUAUGCUGCCUGUCUCGAAAGCGCAAGGACCUCAGUUCAAUCCCCGGUACCAAAAAAAAAAGUAUAAGAGACAGGGCCUCACUCUGUAGUCCAGAUCAGCCUGGAACUCACCAUGUGCCUCAGUGCUGUGAUUGUCAUGCUCAACUUCAUUAUGCAGAUAUUCCUCAUUGAAUGACCUGUUUACAGACUGUCCAGGCUUACAACCCACUGCUCAGACUUAUGGUUCAUCUCUUUUUUUUUGUACAGUUCUGCACAUCUUAUUUAUAGAGUCUCAAUGUCUUUUUUUGUAUAGUAUACCUUGCUUAUUACAGUACUGUAAUUUUUGCUGAUUGUACUGUAUAAUAUAGUGCUGUAGUUUUAUGUUCUGUUAUACAUUACAGUAUUGCCUGUAAGAGUUAUGCAAAUAAAAGCAAAGUCCUC
Molecule: long non-coding RNA, 7899 nt
Organism: Heterocephalus glaber (naked mole-rat)
Lineage: Eukaryota; Metazoa; Chordata; Mammalia; Rodentia; Bathyergidae
Source: Ensembl